UGCGUAGGUGGUUUCUUAAGUCAGAGGUGAAAGGCUACGGCUCAACCGUAGUAAGUCUUUGAAACUGGGAAACUUGAGUGCAGGAGAGGAGAGUGGAAUUCCUAGUGUAGCGGUGAAAUGCGUAGAUAUUAGGAGGAACACCAGUGGCGAAGGCGGCUUACUGGACGGUAACUGACGUUGAGGCUCGAAAGCGUGGGGAGCAAACAA
Molecule: ribosomal RNA, 207 nt
Filed under: uncultured bacterium
Lineage: Bacteria
Description: partial 16S ribosomal RNA
Rfam family: Bacterial small subunit ribosomal RNA
Source: RNAcentral